AUGAGUAUCUUAUGCUGGAAAUGUCGAGGUUUGGGGUCGGACUCGACAGUUGGCGAGCUUCGCUGGCUUGUGAAGCUUUACCAACCCUCCCUCUUUCUGUCUGAAACGAAGAUGAGGGAUACUCUUGUGAGGAACUUUAUGUGGCCUCUGGGAUUUUCUGGUUGUUUUGCUGUUAGCAGUGAGGGACUCAGUGGCGGCUUUGCUUUGUUCUCGACGUCCUCGGCGAAGGUGCCAGUUAAGGUUGCUAACAAGCAUUGCAUUGACACUCAUGUGAAGCUCAAUGAUGGUGUGGUCUGGCGUGCCUCCUUCAUAUAUGGGGAACCCAGAAGAGAAGACAGAUCCCAAUUUGGGAGCUUCUUCGGCGUCUCCAACCUAUGUGGGAUGCGUCGUGGAUAUGCUGUGGGGAUUUCAAUUAGGUCUUAG
Molecule: ribosomal RNA, 423 nt
Filed under: Triticum aestivum (bread wheat)
Lineage: Eukaryota; Viridiplantae; Streptophyta; Magnoliopsida; Poales; Poaceae
Description: partial small subunit ribosomal RNA
Source: RNAcentral